UAGGGAAUAUUGCACAAUGGACGAAAGCCUGACGCAGCCAUGCCGCGUGGAUGAUGAAGGUCUUAGGAUUGUAAAAUCCUUUCACCGGUGAAGAUAAUGACUGUAGCCGGAGAAGAAGCCCCGGCUAACUUCGUGCCAGCAGCCGCGGUAAUACGAAGGGGGCUAGCGUUGCUCGGAAUUACUGGGCGUAAAGGGAGCGUAGGCGGACAUUUAAGUCAGGGGUGAAAUCCCAGAGCUCAACUCUGGAACUGCCUUUGAUACUGGGUGUCUUGAGUGUGAUAGAGGUAUGUGGAACUCCGAGUGUAGAGGUGAAAUUCGUAGAUAUUCGGAAGAACACCAGUGGCGAAGGCGACAUACUGGAUCAUUACUGACGCUGAGGCUCGAAAGCGUGAGGAGCAAACAGGAUUAGAUACCCCAGUAGUCCCUGAGCGGGCUGGCAAGGCGCAU
Molecule: ribosomal RNA, 447 nt
Filed under: uncultured bacterium
Lineage: Bacteria
Description: bacterial SSU rRNA
Rfam family: Bacterial small subunit ribosomal RNA
Source: RNAcentral